RNAcentral lists this ribosomal RNA (460 nucleotides) under uncultured Erythrobacter sp. RNAcentral's name for it is "bacterial SSU rRNA". It matches the Rfam family "Bacterial small subunit ribosomal RNA", at positions 930 to 1388 of the family's 1533-position model. The record is from RNAcentral. Lineage: Bacteria; Pseudomonadati; Pseudomonadota; Alphaproteobacteria; Sphingomonadales; Erythrobacteraceae.
CGGUGGAGCAUGUGGUUUAAUUCGAAAGCAAACGCGCAGAACCUUACCAGCCUCUGACAUCCUAGGACGGUUUCUGGAGACAGACUCCUUCCCUUCGGGGACCUAGUGACAGGUGCUGCAUGGCUGUCGUCAGCUCGUGUCGUGAGAUGUUGGGUUAAGUCCCGCAACGAGCGCAACCCUCGUCCUUAGUUGCCAUCAUUUAGUUGGGCACUUUAAGGAAACUGCCGGUGAUAAGCCGGAGGAAGGUGGGGAUGACGUCAAGUCCUCAUGGCCCUUACAGGCUGGGCUACACACGUGCUACAAUGGCAUCUACAGUGAGCAGCGAUCCCGCGAGGGUUAGCUAAUCUCCAAAAGAUGUCUCAGUUCGGAUUGUUCUCUGCAACUCGAGAGCAUGAAGGCGGAAUCGCUAGUAAUCGCGGAUCAGCAUGCCGCGGUGAAUACGUUCCCAGGCCUUGUACAC